GGAGGAUUCGCCUAGUGGUCUAUGGCGCCGCCUUGGAAAGGCGGUUGGGUCUGUGCCUUCACGAGUUCGAAUCUCGUAUCCUCCG
This 85-nucleotide transfer RNA is filed under the name Candidatus Ancillula trichonymphae. RNAcentral's name for it is "tRNA-Ser". It matches the Rfam family "tRNA". Rfam says of the family: Transfer RNA (tRNA) molecules are approximately 80 nucleotides in length. Lineage: Bacteria; Bacillati; Actinomycetota; Actinomycetes; Bifidobacteriales; Bifidobacteriaceae. The record is from RNAcentral.